This is a long non-coding RNA of Oxyura jamaicensis (ruddy duck), 320 nucleotides long. RefSeq lists it as uncharacterized. The record is from RefSeq and is a predicted model, not a curated record. Lineage: Eukaryota; Metazoa; Chordata; Aves; Anseriformes; Anatidae. The transcript is spliced from 3 exons.
GGGGGGCUGCUCGUCCUCUGGAGCCCCGGCUGCAGCAGGGCCUCGCUCAUGCUGUGAUUCUGGUCCCCCGUUCAGAUAGGAUUUCUUCACGGCUACUCCUUGAAGAACGGCGUUCCUGUUGAAGAGGAGAUAAAGGCGACUGGGUUGCCAAAUGCUUUCUCAGAAAUUUGGCAAUAACGUGGUGUUUAACAUAAGUUAAACCAAAUAUAAAGGACAACAAGGCAUCAGAGAAUAGUCUGGAUCGAGGCUCAGCUACAGAAUAGCUGACAGGCAUGGGGAAGAGGGAUGCGAAUGGAACCGCUCGUGAUGGAUCGGAAUGA